AGUUACCAGCACGUAUGGUGGGCACUCUAACGGAGACUGCCGGUGACAACCGGAGGAAGGUGGGGAUGACGUCAAGUCAUCAUGGCCCUUACGGCCUGGGCUACACACGUGCUACAAUGGUCGGUACAAAGGGUUGCCAAGCCGCGAGGUGGAGCUAAUCCCAUAAAACCGAUCGUAGUCCGGAUCGCAGUCUGCAACUCGACUGCGUGAAGUCGGAAUCGCUAGUAAUCGUGAAUCAGAAUGUCACGGUGAAUACGUUCCCGGGCCUU
RNAcentral lists this ribosomal RNA (269 nucleotides) under uncultured Pseudomonas sp. RNAcentral describes it as "partial 16S ribosomal RNA". It matches the Rfam family "Bacterial small subunit ribosomal RNA", at positions 1113 to 1382 of the family's 1533-position model. Lineage: Bacteria; Pseudomonadati; Pseudomonadota; Gammaproteobacteria; Pseudomonadales; Pseudomonadaceae. The record is from RNAcentral.